UGUAAACUUGAUCAGAGAUUUUGCCGUGAGAUAACGGCCCGAAAGAUUUGGUAAAUCGUCUUCUCUUUUUAGGCGGAAUUUUUAAAGAGGGAUGUGGGAACCUACAGCAGAAAUACAGGCGGCGGCAGCGGCGCCUUCCAGGGCCAUAGGCUGCGGGGGCGACCGGCGGGGAAAGCGCAGCGCAGCGCCGGUACGAGAGGGCACGGACACAGAGAGACGGAACGGAGCGGGCCGGGGCGCGGGGCUGCGGCGGAAUGGGAACAGAAGGCGAGUAGCGGAGCGGCGCGGCGGGCAGAAGAGCAGGGGGCGCCGCCGGCAGCGCUUUUAUAGGCGGCGCGGCCGCGGGGAGGGACCGGGACCUCGCGUCAGCGGCCGCGGGGCGGGAGGAGCUGCCGCCGCUCCCGCCUUCCCGCCUCAAACCCGGCUCCCGGCGGGCUUGGCUGCGUUCCCGCCCGCUCCGCGCCGGCGGCGGAGGAGGCGCUGCCCCGCCGUGCCCGAUCCGCCAACGUGGAGGCGGCCGCCGGGGCAGGUGCGGGCCGCGCUCUGCGGCAGCUUCCCUCGGGGCCCGAGUGCCGCGCCGAGCGGGGCCCCUCAUCCAGCGCUCUUUGUGGCGCCGGAGCGUCUUCAGAAGUGGGUUGUUUUUUUUUUUUUUUUUGAGCCGCCAGUUUGGGAAUGGCAGGGAACGUCACCGUGAACUGUGAGAGAAGGGGAGCGCAGGGGCUGCGGAAAGAGCGAAGCUUGUCUGACACAGGCGUUGGGUUCAGGACACUGAGUUGUUUCCAGAUAUGGGCCCCUUGGAGGACAGUGCUUGAAAACCCACCUUUUUUUUUGCAGCCUUUUAGCAGUUCCGUGCAGAGAGCAGGUCAGGAGCUGUCAGAGAUCAUCCCUCAGAGCCCAGGGUGGGGGGUUGCCCACAUACGGCUUUGAGUGACAGCCUGGAUCUCCGUUCUGGUAACGGCACCCACGGCAGUGAGACCAGGCCGGUGUCAUGCAGUGCUGAGCAGGUGGCAGAGGCCGGGUCCUCACAGCCGGCCGGGAGCCUCCUUCACCAAGGGAACAGGAGCCCGCUGCCUGCUGCUGAUACAUGGAGCAUGAAGCUGUGAGCAAUGCUCACUGGAGGAGACCGAGCAUGGAAUGGUUUGGGUUGGAAGGGACCUAGCUUGCCUCGCGUUUAGGUGAGUUUCAAGACAGGUAAAUACAUGAACUAUGGGAUUUAGCUGACCCACUCAGGCACUCAUACAGCUGCACAUCCUGAAGUCCUCAUUACUUCAUAACAUCCUUGCGAGGAAGUGCAGCUCAUGUGCUGCAAGUGGAAAACAGCAGCUCAGAGACAGAGCUCAAGUAAAGGUCACCAAAGAGUUUGGUGGCAGAGCUAAGGACCAAACCCCGAUCCCACAGUCCUGCCGUGUUGGUUACCAAAGUACACAGGGCUGUCAGGUUCUUAAAGCUCCUUCAUGCAGUUAUAGUCCUUCCAAGGCACUAAAAUCUACUGAGAACCCCAUAGAAGAGGAUGGAGAGUAAUUGUUUUGGAAGGCAAUUGUUAAUCUAAGAACACACUGGUUUAUUAAUUAAAACCAAAAUCCUGUGGGUUAGUGCGGGUUGGAUUUUUUUUCUUGCAAAGCAAAACUGGGUUUGUUGAGUUUUGUAGAAGAGAGAAUGUAGAAAAGUGGCUAAUAGACACACACCUGUCAUCUCUUCAGAACUAAAAUGAGACAGAAGUUCUGCAGCAAGCAGUGAUGGAGUUUGUUUACUCUUCAUCUGUUGUCACCUUCUCUUUUGCGAAUCGUUUUAAAUGAGGAGGAAGUGAGCUGACAAAUGUAUGCAGUCUCAGUGCGGUGUCUCAUCUUUCCCGAUAAGAGCACUAAGAGUGUACAGAUCAGCCAGUAAAAUCAGGUGCUUAAUGCUGAAGUCAGAGGACCUCUUGCAUACAUUUGCAACAAACCCUGCAUUCAGGAAUAAAAACACAGCAGUUUGCACUGUUUUCUCAAGUGUGUUCCGUGCUACACCCCUCACUGGUGACUUGCCUGCUGUUUUGAGUUCCUAUUCUGGAAUAGUAAGUGCAGGAGGAGGAAAGGAAUCACCAAAAAACCCAAAAUAUAACCCACACACUAAAGAAAAAAAAAAGAAAGAAAGCUGUAGAGAUAUAGGAAGAGAGAUAAGAGAGAUUUGGACAGAUCUGGACAAGGGUGCCAUAAAUGUGAAUCAUUAACAGAGAAAAAGGGAGGAAGGAUUAGAAGGAAGGACAAGGGUUAUGGGGAUAUAACCAGAGGAGCCAUUCAGACUGCUAUAUUCUUAGGGAAUAUAGGCUUUUUUUUAAUGUAUUUUUGGAAGGGAUUUAAGCUAGGAAAAGGGCUUGGUUUAAAGUUUGAAGGAGUUUAGUGAUGAUGAAAGAAACAGUAAAAAAAAAUAGGUCAACAGUAGUUCUGCAUAGAACUAUUUAUUUUAUCUGUGUUCUUAUCUUGCGAUGGCAAUAGCUGAAGAUGUCUCAUCAGUACAUGAGGGAUGUGACUGCCACAUCAGUUGCUGCCAUUUCAUCUACAUGCACCUUCCCAGAGGAGUUCUUGUUUUGCUAGGUAGGGGAUGUUUUUAAUAUUCCUACCGUGCGCAUGAAAACAGGCUGGCUGUUGAGGAGGGGAGGACAGUCACGUAGGCCAGGAAAAAGAAGUUCAGUUUGAUACUCAAUUAAUUGGGGGCACUGUCAGCUAUUUUAAAAACAUAUGGAGGGAGGGAGGAUUUCCUGCUCGUGGAGGAAGCAACACUUGAAAACAGAAACAUAAACUUCAUCCUCUCCAGUCUACUGAAAAAACAAAAAGAAGUGGCACACUGUUCAAGAGUGAACUGCAGACAGAAUGAGGACCCACACUUUAUGCAGUGUUUCCACUUUCACUGGUGAUAAUAACGCAGAAAUAGAAAACUGAUGUCACAGCUCAAAUGCGUAGAUAGUCUUAGCAUUGCACUGCACAGAGCUAACGCUGCUUUGUACACACAGGCAGAACGUAAAAAGUCCAGUAAGUUCCUUCACUUCAUUAACAUUUGUCUACACUCGGUUUUAAUCCUUCAAUUAGUAUCCUUGCGUGGCUCCGCAUGCACAAUGUACUUCAUGGAUUACUAGAGUAACAGCUCACGUUGUGUUCUGUAAGAUGAAAAGGCAGCAGAGCACAAAAGGCAGGUACAGCCCUCACUUCCAAUUGCUUACACCACGUUUCCUUUUCUGCCUUCACAUGUGUUGUUUCCCGCACUGCUGACAGUUGGAUAUAGACAAAAUUAGGCUUUAUCCCUGUGACUCAGAUAAACAGGAGCAGGAAGGACACCCUUCCCCACCUCUCAUUUUGGAACGCAAAAAACACUCAGCGGUGAGGUAACCGUGUGGUCGGGAGUUUCAAACUGAUUUGGGCAGAUGUCUGAAGGCUGUGUAGCCUGAUGACCUUCUCCACUAACCCAAAGUAUUUCCUUCUCUUUAUGUCUUCCUAUGGGCUACCUCUUCUCUCCUCUGGUUCUCCCAUUUCCUUUCCCUCUCCGAUGCACUAUCACCAGACAUCAGCAGGGGAUCAGAUUCCGCUCCUGCAGGUGAGAGAAUGAGAUUAUUUCCUCCUCCGUCUCCUCUUCCUCUUCCCUCUCUGCUGCCAACUCCUGCAGUCAUCGGUGUUUUUUCUUAAAGCAUCAGGUGCAGGAAUUGUAUGGGUAUGCAAGAAUUUCAACUUCCAUCGAGAAUAAAAUCAUGACCAUAGAGAAGAGUUUGAAAUAUGUUUGCUGAAAACACGAAGCAACAAAGGAUAAAUACAAAUAAUAACCCACUUUUUGUGUAGGGAAAAGGUUACUGCAAUUUCAGAGUGCUUGGACUUGGCAAUACGGUUUCUCUCUUGGCUUCUUGGCUUCACGUCCAUGCGGAGGCAUCCGGUGCCAGGAACAGUUAGCAAUCUGUAGCUGUCCAGCAGGAGCACCGAGCCAUUGCAGUAGGAGGAAAGAAGCAGUCAAGAUUUCAUUUUGGUCUGAGCUGCAUAGGGGAGGAAUGGCUGUGCGCAGGGCAGGCACGGGACGAAAGGAAAAUGAGCACAGUGACAGAUGAUGGGACCCCUUGUUCCCACUGUGCUAUAGAAGUACUAGAGUUCCAGCAGCCUCUGUGUAGUAGAACUGUCUGUAUAAAUAGGACCUUCAGGCAGCACUGUCCGUUUGGUACUCGAAUCUUUGUACCUUUCUCAUUGCUGCAUAGUUCAGAGCUAUCGCUGUUCCUGUCCAGUGGAAAGAAACACUGAUAUGCAGCUGGAGGAAUGAUUCAUAAUUAUUAAAAGCCUAGAGGUGGUGGGAGGAAAGACAUGUCUGCUUUAGCACACAGAGCAGUCGCCUCUCAACUAUGUUUGCUGAAUUAUUUGCUGGAUCAAAAUAGCUGCAGCAGAAAUCAGAUCUGGUCUUGGAUUAGCCUGGUUUAUACAGUGAAUAUUUACAGAAUACAUCUCAUACUCAAGCUAAGUCAUUUAAACAAAGAAAAGGUUAAAAAAUGAGUAUAUACCGGCUCAUUGUUUUGACUGACAUAGCUUCUACAGAGGCAUGUGAGGUGAUCUGGUGCAUGGAAAAUUAAUGGAAACAGUGGCUCAAAGCACUACAUAAGGGUAUCACAAAUAAGUAACACUGAACUUUGGUUGUUUUAGAAAGAUCAAAAGUAAAAAGAAGUAACAACAACAAAAAAACCGUCUUGAUUUAGGAGUAUCUAGCAAUAUGCUAUAAGCACAGUUUUGCAGAUAUAGCCUUUUAUCAGUCCACUGCUAGAAUGGUAUUGAACCUCUAUGAAAACCUAGAGUGGAUGACCAGAGACUAAAAGAAAAUGUCUGUGAACUAGAUAUCUUACCAGCUGAAUAAGGACUAUCAAAGAGAAUAUUCAAAUGUGAGCGUUACUGUGGAGUCCAGUGACCUGCUUGCAUACGCUGUAUUAACUAGUAAACAGCAAGAAGAUUCAAAAGCUUUAAGUACCUGCAACAGAACAUGGACUUCCUACUAUCAGGAAAUAGGCCUAAGCUCAGCCCAAGUUAGAAACAACUUGGACUUGUUAUGCAGUAGAGAUUAAUUGUGUGUUGAUCAUUCACAUUCUAGUUGUCCAAGUACCAUAGAUGAUCAUGAAAACCUGCAGGAUCAGCCAGUGGCUCAGGGUUCGGCCCCUGUGAAAUUUAUCUUUUCUCACUAUGAGUUUCUUUAGAUUGGUGAAGAGGCAUGAAGUUUUCCUUUAUGAACAAACAGGAGGCAUCUGUUCCCAGAAGAGUGAACUAAUCAACAGUGAUAAGUCUAUCAUCAACUUAAAAAUGCAGCAGUCCAAGUGCUGGAGUGAGAUGAAGUGUUGUGUGUGCCAUCCAGGCCUUCUGAUGAAAGUUAA
This 5362-nucleotide long non-coding RNA is filed under the name Gallus gallus (chicken). The record is from RNAcentral. Lineage: Eukaryota; Metazoa; Chordata; Aves; Galliformes; Phasianidae.